UUUCACACUGCUGAAAUAGACAUACCCAAGACUGGGCAAUUUACAAAAGAUAGAGGCUUAAUUGGACUUACAGUUCCACAUGGCUGGGGAAGCCUCACAAUCAGGGUGGAAGGCAAGAAAGAGCAAGUUAUGUCUUACACAGAUGGCAGCAGGCAAAGAGAGAGCCUUUGUGCAGGUGAAUUGCU
This is a long non-coding RNA of Cebus imitator (Panamanian white-faced capuchin), 185 nucleotides long. RefSeq lists it as uncharacterized. NCBI's taxonomy places the organism in Eukaryota, Metazoa, Chordata, Mammalia, Primates, Cebidae. The transcript is spliced from 3 exons. The record is from RefSeq and is a predicted model, not a curated record.